Molecule: ribosomal RNA, 907 nt
Filed under: Thelotrema porinaceum
Lineage: Eukaryota; Fungi; Ascomycota; Lecanoromycetes; Ostropales; Graphidaceae
Description: SSU rRNA
Rfam family: Bacterial small subunit ribosomal RNA
Source: RNAcentral
AUAUGGUCAAUGGCCUUAACGGCUGAACCAGCACUUGGAGGAUGUAUAGGGAAAGCUGGUAAAAUGCGAUGUACCUAGUAGUAUUAGUAAUUAAUAUGAUAUUAACUAAGUUAAUUAAAAUUCAAAGUAAAUAUUGAUUAUGACAGUGUUUGCUUAUGUCUUGACCAAAUCACGUGCCAGCAGUCGCGGUAAUACGUGGAAGAUAAGUGUUAUUCAUGUUUAACAGGUUUAAAGGGUACCUAGACGGUUAAUUAAACACUUAAAUGUAUUAAUUAACUAGAGUUUGAUAUAGGAAGGAUUGAGUACGGUGAGUGAAGAGAUAAAAUUCUAUUAGACCACUAAGGAACUGGUAAAGGCGAAGGCAACCUUGUAUGUAAAAACUGACGUUAAGGGACGAAGGCUCAUGUUAAAAAAUAGGAUUAGAGACCCUAGUAUUUUGGGCAGACAAUGAUGAGUGUCAUAUGCAAGAGAAUAGAAAAAAUAGAAAUUUUUGUGUAUAAAUGAAAGUGUAAGCACUCCACCUCAAGAGUAACGUGGCAACACGGGAACUGAAAUCAUUAGACCGUUUCUGAAACUCGUAGUGAAGUAUGUUGUUUAAUUUGAUAAUCCACAAAUAACCUUACCACAAUUUGUAUAACAUCGGCUUUAAGAUGUAACAAGUGUUGCACGGCUGUCUUCAGUCAAUGUUGUGAAACUGUGGUUAGAUCCAUGGAAUUGACGAAAACCCUUGCUUUAUUUAUUAUAAAGUAGUUCGCCGCUAUAUUGGUAGUGAUAUAUGGGACUAAGACAAGUCAUCAUGACCUGAACAUUGUGGGCUAUAGACGUGCCACAUUACCCUUAACAAAAAGAUGCAAAAUUGCGAAAUUUAGCUAAUCUAUAAAGAGGAAAUAAUACCGGAUUGUAGUCG